CUGUGGGGGCAGCCCGUGUGGGAGGGAGCUCGGACGUGAAGGAGCCCGGGCAAGCUCCGGGCGUUCCCCGGGAAAAGGGUGAAAUUCCCUACGGAAAAAUAAGGGCUGAGUGCUGGGGUGUCCCGGCCCGGAUCCUGCAGGGAUCAGCUCCUGCAGCGCCCUGUCCCUGUGCCGCGAGGUGUCCGUGCGUGUCCCCCUUGUGCCAUGUCCCCGGGUGUUCUGACGCCCGCUCGGUUCCCUGAGAGUGACACCAACAUGGGACACUUUCACUUUGGGGUUUCUGGCAGCUCUGUCAGCUGUCCUCUGCAGGAUGUGGUAUUGCAGUUGAAGCACACAGGAGAGCUGGGCUGAGGAAUACAAUUUGCUCUUUCUCUACUUUCUUCUGUGAGCUGGUGUUCUCCUGUGAAGAUUUUCCCUCCAAGUAAUGCAGUUAGAGAGAGAGAGAGGGAAAAGAAAAAAAAGGUAGAGUAUUUCAUUUUCUCUUCACAUGGACUUACACUUCUGGUUUUGAUAUAAAGAGAAUCGACUGAAGUAGUGUAUUGCCUCCAUACCCAAACAGGAUGAAAGCCCCACUGUGUUAAAACACUAAAGCAGCAUUGUAUUACUAUUAAGCAGGUGUCAAACAGUGCCUAAACUAGUAAAACAAAAGGUGAAAAAGGGGCUUUGCUAAGGAGCUUCAAUUGCAGUUGGGUGGCUGCCUGGUGUGCAAGGUGUGCCUCGCUGCUCUGUCAGGUGCACCCCCAAGUUUGAGGUAAUCCUAGGCUUGGUUUAAGAUGUGGUGGUGUGAUAUGUUGACAAGUAGGGGUAGGUGUGUGAUGAAAAAUUCCCCAGGCACAGGCGUGCUCGAGCCAAGGAAAUGCUGAGCACCACGUGUGUGGGUACUGCAAGAGGGGUGAGAGGCUCCAAGAGAGGGGAGGGAGCCUGGCACCUCCCUGCCUGCUCCUGCUCCCCGAGCUCUGGUGGAAAAAGGUUCACUUUCCUUGUGUUACAGACUGAGCUCUGGUGUGGAGACAUGUGUGAAGAGAUGGGUUUAGGCAGGGUCAUUUUACAGUGUUGUAAUUCUGAAUGCUCAGGAGGCAAUAAGGGGGUUUUUCUCUUUGUAGUGUGUUAUACUCAGAGCUUUCUUCGGCAGGUGGAAACGGGCCAUCAUCAAUAGAACAGGAAUGUGAGACAACAGCGUGGAUAGCAGACAGUAUCUAGGUCUUCUGUAGGGGAAAAAAUGUCAAGUGUUGAAAAUGAAUGGGUCUGCACCCCAGAAAAAAGGUGAGGGAGGAUUCCCCAUCUGGGUGGCAGAGAGAAUGGGCUGGGAAGGAGAAGGGAGGGUUUAGAAAAGGAGACAAAUUCAUGCAGUAGGAAAACACACAGGAGAACUUACAGAGAGAGGGCUUCAGCGUUAUUAAAGAGUGCAAGGACUUGAUUACAGAACUUUAUUUUGAGCAUGAAAUUAUUAAUGAAGACAGAUCAUGCAUCAAAUAGUUGUAAACAAAGAACUCGGGGUUUUCUGGAAAUUAAAACGGGUAUGUCUGCAAUGCUCUGCGGCAAACACUGCAUCUGGCUUUGAACAAAGUAACUAUUCUGUGAGACAGUUCCAAGGGCAUAGUCAGUGAAGAACUGCUCCUGUUUGCCACAGUUUUAAUCAAUCAUUAAUCAGCCUUUCUUCUUUCCAGUUCUGUUUUCUUCUGCUUCUGCCUUGCUCAGCUCCAGGCCUUUAUUCAGAGUGGUGCAGUUGCACUGGUGCCCUGGCAUUGAGGAAAGGAGUUUCCGGGACUAAUUCUGCCACAAACAUUCCAGCUAAAUGCAACAGCCUGGAAGGGCUCCAGAGCAGAGACCCUGAAAAACACAACCCAGCUGGUCUGAGAGAUAAUAGCUGCCAAGUGAGUGUAGCUGUCUGCGAGGAGUCACGCACAGGGAUGUGGCUUUGACUCUUCUGUCCUUGGAUAUUUUGAAAUGUGAAUCAAAGUCAUUAGGCUGCUUUUGCCAUGCUAAUGAAAUGGUCUUGCCUAAAGACUAAAGGAGACACAAAUCUGUUUUUAAUGGCCAUAAAGGUUCUGGAUUGUGGCAUGGGUUACUGUCUACUCACUCACAACUGCAUAGUGGCAUAGAAUGUUUCUUUCUGCUAAUUGCAUUCUUACAGUCCUGAUAUUCAAGAAAAGACAUUUUUCCUUCUGUCUCUAGGAAUUUUGCCUCUAUUCCUUACAAAGUCAGUAGACCAGUGUGCCUGAGGGCAUGGUGACUGCAGGUGUGUGGUUGUGCACAGCUGGGUGUGGAUAUGGGAGCAUUUCUCUUCACCAGCUUGAGCUGAUGGGUGACAAAUCAAACUCUUCUACACUGUGAAUUUGAAUAUUGCUUUGAUUACAUAGGCUGCACUGGUUUAUACUCUAAGUUUUGGUUUAGACAAACCUGACAGAAAUGAAAUGUAGUUGUUAAUAUUAAAGUUGGUGGAUGAGGUAAAAAGGAUUUUAUGUAUAACUGUAAAGAAAAAUGCACAUCCAGUAGAAAUAUUCUGCAGAAGCAGCAGAUUUUAUUGUGAUUCUGUGGUGAGGUCAGGAAUAGCUCUAUCAGGAAAGGCAUUGAGAGUGUUCUCCCUGAGAUGCAGAAUGCUUUCUGGAGCUUCCCAAAUGAAUGAGGAACAAAGUGCAGCAGCCACCAAAGAGAUGCAGAUGCUGCUCACCAGCAGCCUGGCCACCCCUACCACACAGUGCUGUGAGCCCGGCAAAGCAGGUUUCAUCUGGAUUAGCCUUCU
Long non-coding RNA from Motacilla alba alba, 2743 nucleotides. RefSeq lists it as uncharacterized. The transcript is spliced from 3 exons. Lineage: Eukaryota; Metazoa; Chordata; Aves; Passeriformes; Motacillidae. The record is from RefSeq and is a predicted model, not a curated record.